Molecule: ribosomal RNA, 529 nt
Filed under: uncultured bacterium
Lineage: Bacteria
Description: bacterial SSU rRNA
Rfam family: Bacterial small subunit ribosomal RNA
Source: RNAcentral
AAUAGAUACCCUGGUAGUCCACGCCGUAAACGAUGAGUGCUAAGUGUUAGAGGGUUUCCGCCCUUUAGUGCUGCAGCUAACGCAUUAAGCACUCCGCCUGGGGAGUACGGUCGCAAGACUGAAACUCAAAGGAAUUGACGGGGGCCCGCACAAGCGGUGGAGCAUGUGGUUUAAUUCGAAGCAACGCGAAGAACCUUACCAGGUCUUGACAUCCUCUGACAACUCUAGAGAUAGAGCGUUCCCCUUCGGGGGACAGAGUGACAGGUGAUGCAUGGUUGUCGUCAGCUCGUGUCGUGAGAUGUUGGGUUAAGUCCCGCAACGAGCGCAACCCUUGAUCUUAGUUGCCAGCAUUUAGUUGGGCACUCUAAGGUGACUGCCGGUGACAAACCGGAGGAAGGUGGGGACGACGUCAAAUCAUCAUGCCCCUUAUGACCUGGGCUACACACGUGCUACAAUGGAUGGUACAAAGGGCUGCAAGACCGCGAGGUCAAGCCAAUCCCAUAAAACCAUUCUCAGUUCGGAUUGUAGG